UACGGAGGGAGCUAGCGUUGUUCGGAAUUACUGGGCGUAAAGCGCACGUAGGCGGCUUUGUAAGUUAGAGGUGAAAGCCUGGAGCUCAACUCCAGAAUUGCCUUUAAGACUGCAUCGCUUGAAUCCAAGAGAGGUGAGUGGAAUUCCGAGUGUAGAGGUGAAAUUCGUAGAUAUUCGGAAGAACACCAGUGGCGAAGGCGGCUCACUGGCUUGGUAUUGACGCUGAGGUGCGAAAGCGUGGGGAGCGAACAGG
Molecule: ribosomal RNA, 253 nt
Filed under: uncultured bacterium
Lineage: Bacteria
Description: partial 16S ribosomal RNA
Rfam family: Bacterial small subunit ribosomal RNA
Source: RNAcentral